This 1107-nucleotide ribosomal RNA is filed under the name Candidatus Phytoplasma mali. Its description in RNAcentral is "bacterial SSU rRNA". It matches the Rfam family "Bacterial small subunit ribosomal RNA", at positions 202 to 1325 of the family's 1533-position model. Lineage: Bacteria; Bacillati; Mycoplasmatota; Mollicutes; Acholeplasmatales; Acholeplasmataceae. The record is from RNAcentral.
GCAAGGGUAUGCUAAGAGAUGGGCUUGCGGCACAUUAGUUAGUUGGUAAGGUAACGGCUUACCAAGACUAUGAUGUGUAGCUGGACUGAGAGGUUGAACGGCCACAUUGGGAUUGAGAUACGGCCCAAACUCCUACGGGAGGCAGCAGUAAGGAAUUUUCGGCAAUGGAGGAAACUCUGACCGAGCAACGCCGCGUGAACGAUGAAAUAUUUAGGUAUGUAAAGUUCUUUUAUUAAAGAAGAAAAAAUGAUGGAAAAAUCAUUCUGACGGUAUUUAAUGAAUAAGCCCCGGCUAACUAUGUGCCAGCAGCUGCGGUAAUACAUGGGGGGCAAGCGUUAUCCGGAUUUAUUGGGCGUAAAGGGUGUGUAGGCGGUUUAAUAAGUCUAUGGUAUAAGUUCAACGCUUAACGUUGUGAUGCUAUGGAAACUGUUUGACUAGAGUUGGAUAGAGGCAAGUGGAAUUCCAUGUGUAGCGGUAAAAUGCGUAAAUAUAUGGAGGAACACCAGUAGCGAAGGCGGCUUGCUGGGUCUUAACUGACGCUGAGGCACGAAAGCGUGGGGAGCAAACAGGAUUAGAUACCCUGGUAGUCCACGCCGUAAACGAUGAGUACUAAGUGUUGGGUUAAACCAGUGCUGAAGUUAACACAUUAAGUACUCCGCCUGAGUAGUACGUACGCAAGUAUGAAACUUAAAGGAAUUGACGGGACUCCGCACAAGCGGUGGAUCAUGUUGUUUAAUUCGAAGAUACACGAAAAACCUUACCAGGUCUUGACAUACUCUGCAAAGCUAUAGAAAUAUAGUGGAGGUUAUCAGGGAUACAGGUGGUGCAUGGUUGUCGUCAGCUCGUGUCGUGAGAUGUUGGGUUAAGUCCCGCAACGAGCGCAACCCUUAUCGCUAGUUACCAUCAUUUAGUUGGGCACUUUAGUGAGACUGCCAAUGAUAAAUUGGAGGAAGGUGGGGAUUACGUCAAAUCAUCAUGCCCCUUAUGACCUGGGCUACAAACGUGAUACAAUGGCUGUUACAAAGAGUAGCUGAAGCGUGAGUUUUUAGCAAAUCUCAAAAAAACAGUCUCAGUUCGGAUUGAAGUCUGCAACUCGACUUCAUGAAG